RNAcentral lists this ribosomal RNA (398 nucleotides) under uncultured bacterium. Its description in RNAcentral is "bacterial SSU rRNA". It matches the Rfam family "Bacterial small subunit ribosomal RNA", at positions 29 to 409 of the family's 1533-position model. The record is from RNAcentral.
AACGAACGCUGGCGGCGUGCCUAACACAUGCAAGUCGUGCGAGAAAGUUCCUUCGGGAGCGAGUAAAGCGGCGCACGGGUGAGUAACACGUAGGUAACCUGCCCCCCAGUCUGGAACAACUAGAGGAAACUCUAGCUAAUGCCGGAUGAGACCACGAUCCCCUUCGGGGGUUGCGGCCAAAGAUGGCCUCUACUUGUAAGCUAUCGCUGAGGGAUGGGCCUGCGGGCCAUUAGCUUGUUGGUGAGGUAACGGCUCACCAAGGCUGUGAUGGCUAGCUGGUCUGAGAGGAUGACCAGCCACACUGGGACUGAGACACGGCCCAGACUCCUACGGGAGGCAGCAGUGGGGAAUAUUGCGCAAUGGGCGAAAGCCUGACGCAGCGACGCCGCGUGGGUGAU